UGGGGAAUUUUGGACAAUGGGGGCAACCCUGAUCCAGCCAUGCCGCGUGCGGGAAGAAGGCCUUCGGGUUGUAAACCGCUUUUGUCAGGGAAGAAACGCUCUGGGCCAAUACCCCGGAGUAAUGACGGUACCUGAAGAAUAAGCACCGGCUAACUACGUGCCAGCAGCCGCGGUAAUACGUAGGGUGCAAGCGUUAAUCGGAAUUACUGGGCGUAAAGCGUGCGCAGGCGGUUAUGCAAGACAGAUGUGAAAUCCCCGGGCUCAACCUGGGAACUGCAUUUGUGACUGCAUGGCUUGAGUGCGGCAGAGGGAGAUGGAAUUCCGCGUGUAGCAGUGAAAUGCGUAGAUAUGCGGAGGAACACCGAUGGCGAAGGCAAUCUCCUGGGCCUGCACUGACGCUCAUGCACGAAAGCGUGGGGAGCAAACAG
Molecule: ribosomal RNA, 428 nt
Filed under: uncultured bacterium
Lineage: Bacteria
Description: bacterial SSU rRNA
Rfam family: Bacterial small subunit ribosomal RNA
Source: RNAcentral